GCACGAAAGGCGUAAUGAUUUGAGCGCUGUCUCAACAAUGCACCCGGUGAAAUUGAAAUACCAGUGAAGAUGCUGGUUACCUGCGCCAGGACGGAAAGACCCCAUGGAGCUUUACUCCAGCUUGAUACUGGGAUUCGGUAUUGCAUGUACAGGAUAGGUGGGAGGCCGUGAAGAGAGGACGCCAGUCUUCUUGGAGCCACUGUUGGGAUACCACCCUUGUGAUACUGGAUUUCUAACCAGCCACCGUGAUCCGGUGGUGGGACAAUGUCAGGUGGGGAGUUUGACUGGGGCGGUCGCCUCCGAAAGGGUAUCGGAGGCGCUCAAAGGUUCCCUCAGAAUGGUUGGAAACCAUUCAAAGAGUGCAAAGGCAUAAGGGAGCUUGACUGCGAGACCGACGGGUCGAGCAGGUACGAAAGUAGGACUUAGUGAUCCGGUGGUAUGAAAGUGGGAUUGCCAUCGCUCAACGGAUAAAAGCUACCCUGGGGAUAACAGGCUUAUCACUCCCAAGAGUUCACAUCGACGGAGUGGUUUGGCACCUCGAUGUCGGCUCAUCGCAUCCUGGGGCUGAAGUAGGUCCCAAGGGUUGGGCUGUUCGCCCAUUAAAGCGGUACGCGAGCUGGGUUCAGAACGUCGUGAGACAGUUCGGUCCCUAUCCGGCGCGGGCGUAGGAUAUUUGAGAGGAGCUGUCCUUAGUACGAGAGGACCGGGAUGGACUGACCUCUGGUGUAUCUGUUGGGUAUCAAACCCAUGGCAGAGUAGCCAAGUCGGGACGGGAUAAACGCUGAAGGCAUCUAAGCGUGAAGCCCCCCUCAAGAUGAGAUAUCCCAUCGCAAGAGUAAGACCCCUUGAAGACGACGAGGUAGAUAGGGCAGAGGUGGAAGCAUGGCAACAUGUGCAGCUGACUGUUACUAAUCGGUCGAGGGCUUAACCAAAA
This 934-nucleotide ribosomal RNA is filed under the name Salmonella enterica subsp. enterica serovar Infantis. RNAcentral's name for it is "partial 23S ribosomal RNA". It matches the Rfam family "Bacterial large subunit ribosomal RNA", at positions 1990 to 2925 of the family's 2925-position model. The record is from RNAcentral. Lineage: Bacteria; Pseudomonadati; Pseudomonadota; Gammaproteobacteria; Enterobacterales; Enterobacteriaceae.